This 492-nucleotide ribosomal RNA is filed under the name uncultured bacterium. RNAcentral's name for it is "partial 16S ribosomal RNA". It matches the Rfam family "Bacterial small subunit ribosomal RNA", at positions 29 to 507 of the family's 1533-position model. The record is from RNAcentral.
AGUGAACGCUGGCGGUAGGCCUAAUACAUGCAAGUCGAACGGAAGCACAGUAAGCGCUUGCCCUUACGGGUGGCGAGUGGCGGACGGGUGAGGAAUACAUCGGAAUCUACUUUUUCGUGGGGGAUAACGUAGGGAAACUUACGCUAAUACCGCAUACGACCUACGGGUGAAAGCAGGAGAUCUUCGGACCUUGCGCGAUUGAAUGAGCCGAUGUCGGAUUAGCUAGUUGGCGGGGUAAAGGCCCACCAAGGCGACGAUACGUAGCUGGUCUGAGAGGAUGAUCAGCCACACUGGAACUGAGACACGGUCCAGACUCCUACGGGAGGCAGCAGUGGGGAAUAUUGCACAAUGGGCGCAAGCCUGAUCCAGCCAUACCGCGUGGGUGAAGAAGGCCUUCGGGUUGUAAAGCCCUUUUGUUGGGAAAGAAAAGCAGCAGGUUAAUACCCCGCUGUUCUGACGGUACCCAAAGAAUAAGCACCGGCUAACUUCGUG